Molecule: non-coding RNA, 167 nt
Filed under: Lingulaulax polyedra
Lineage: Eukaryota; Dinophyceae; Gonyaulacales; Lingulodiniaceae
Source: RNAcentral
CUUUGGGAAAUUCCCCGGACGCAAGGACAGAGAUUGUCAACCCGGGAACGGGUGCCGGCGAGGGAGCUACUCUGGCAACGACGGCCCUUGUUGGCAAGAGCGUGAGAGUCGGCCCCUCGUCGCCGUCAGAGCAAAGUUAUGCCAUCCAUGACACAACGGGGAUUACU